UACGAAGGGGGCUAGCGUUGUUCGGAAUUACUGGGCGUAAAGCGCGUGUAGGCGGGUCCUUAAGUCAGGGGUGAAAUGCCAAGGCUCAACCUUGGAACUGCCUUUGAUACUGGGGAUCUUGAGUCCGGGAGAGGUGAGUGGAACUGCGAGUGUAGAGGUGAAAUUCGUAGAUAUUCGCAAGAACACCAGCGGCGAAGGCGGCUCACUGGCCCGGAACUGACGCUGAGACGCGAAAGCGUGGGGAGCAAACAGG
Molecule: ribosomal RNA, 253 nt
Filed under: uncultured bacterium
Lineage: Bacteria
Description: partial 16S ribosomal RNA
Rfam family: Bacterial small subunit ribosomal RNA
Source: RNAcentral